Molecule: ribosomal RNA, 4050 nt
Filed under: Triticum aestivum (bread wheat)
Lineage: Eukaryota; Viridiplantae; Streptophyta; Magnoliopsida; Poales; Poaceae
Description: partial small subunit ribosomal RNA
Source: RNAcentral
GGGGAUCACACUUUUUUGACCACCUUCGCCCCCGAUGCCACCUUCUCCUGUUGGCCUCAUCCCACAGCUCAGCAGCAGCCCAGCCCCUCCUCCGUCUCCAUUUCUUUUGUCCCUCUCUCUCUCUCUCUCGGUGUUAAAACGCGGCCGCCGUACGCGCAUUGCCUCCUUCCUUCCGAGCAGUCGCUGGCUUGCUUCGAUUCUUCUCCUUCUCUCCUCUUGCCGGGGCGUUCUUGGAGGGGGGCUGUAGCUAGCCUAGCAGUGUACUUGGAGCUGCUGCCGGUGGAGGUCUGCAAUGGGGAGGAGCGGCCAUGCCUGCUCCGUUCUUGGGUCGCUGCUGCUGCUGCUCCUGCUGCUGGGCCCGGCCGCUGCGCAGAAGGGCUCGACCUGGAAGACGCUGAGUGGCGAUGCUCCAGCAGUCAUAGCUAAGGGUGGUUUCUCGGGCCUAUUUCCCGACUCCAGUGACCCUGCUUAUUCGUUUGCUGCCAGCAAUCAGGAUUCAGCCCAGUGGUGCGAUGUUCGGUUAACCAAGGAUGGCGUUGGCAUCUGCCUUCCAGACAUAAAAAUGGAUAACUGCACAACCAUAUCCGAUCUUUUCCCAAAGGGAAAGAAGACCUACCUUGUCAACGGUGUGUCCACGACGGGGUGGUUCUCUGUGGACUAUAACAGCAUUGACCUGACCAAUGUAACUUUGCUGCGAGCAAUCUUGUCUCGUACUAAUAGGUUUGAUGGAAGCUUCACGCUAGUUCAAGUUGAAGUUGCACUGUCGCAAUAUAAGGCCCCUGCUUGGUUGAAUGUUCAGCAUGACAGUUUCUACAGCCAGUUUAAUCUGAGCAUGAGAAGCUAUAUCCUGUCUAUGUCAAAGCAAUACACGGUUGACUACAUCUCAUCCCCUGAAGUGAGUUUCCUCAAAAGUCUAGUUGGAAGAGUUGGCAGGAAGACAAAGCUUGUGCUCCGUUUUCUUGAUGAAGGCCUUGUCGAGCCAUCUACAAAUCAGACAUAUGGCUCAAUACUGAAAAAUCUAUCAUCCAUCAAGACUUUUGCUUCUGGAAUACUUGUUCCCAAACACUAUAUCUGGCCUGUUACGGCAGAUAAUUAUCUGCAACCCUCUACUUCAGUCGUGGAUGAUGCUCAUAAGGCAGGCUUAGAAAUUUAUGCUGCUGAUUUUGCCAACGACUUUGCACUCAGCUACAACUACAGCUAUGAUCCGUUAGCAGAAUAUCUUGGCUUCAUCGACAAUGGUGCCUUCUGUGUUGAUGGUCUCUUGACUGAUUUCCCUAUCACUCCCUUAGAGGCCAUCGGCUGCUUUAGUAACCUGAACAACACCAAGGCAGAUCAUGGGGCACCUCUAGUUAUCUCCCACAAUGGUGCUAGUGGUGACUACCCUGACUGCACUGACCUAGCUUAUCAAAAGGCAGUUCAAGACGGUGCAGAUGUCAUUGACUGUGAUGUUCAAGUGACAAAAGAUGGCAUACCAAUAUGCAUGAGUUCCAUUGACCUAAUGGAUGUCACUACUGUUGCAUCCUCACAAUUUGCUUCUCAAGCGGGUGUCAUAAGCGACAUUAAGGCUGUUGCUGGAGUCUAUACCUUCAACCUCACUUGGGAGGAUAUUGCAAACAACCUGAAGCCUAUGAUAUCGAACCCAUUUGGCCAGAUUAGCCUAUCAAGAAAUCCCAGAAACAGGAACGCAGGAAAAUUCAUGAGAUUAUCAGACUUUUUGGCUUUUGCAAAAGGAAAAAAAUUGUCAGGAAUCAUGAUUACUGUGGAGCAUGCUUCAUUCAUGGCAGAGAAACUUGGGUUUGGUGUGGUAGAUGCAGUGAUCAAAGCUGUUGAUGACUCUGGUUACAGCAAACAGAGCGCCCAGAAAGUGAUGAUCCAGUCAACAAACAGCUCAACUCUGGUGAAGUUCAAGCAGCUGGCCAAGUAUAACCUUGUGUACAAGAUCGACGAAGUCGUGAAAGACGCGGCACCUUCCUCCCUCGCAGACAUCAAAAAGUUUGCGGACGCUGCUUCUGUCAGCAUCAAGUCCGUUUACCCAGAGUCGAGCAAUUUCCUGAUAAACCAGACGAAUCCUCUCGUCAAGUCCCUGCAGUCUGCUGGCCUUCCAGUCUAUGUGUAUCUGCUCAUGAACGAGUUCUUUUCUCAACCGUAUGACUUCUUCUCAGACGCCACGUCACAGAUCAACGCCCUUGUGCACAAAGGGGGAGAAGGAGGCGGAGUGGAUGGACUCAUCACCGAUUUCCCGGGGACGGCUCACAGAUACAAAUUGAACUCGUGCAGGAACAUGGGGGACAAGACGCCCUACUACAUGCUGCCUCCCCAGCGCGGCGGCCUGGUUGGGGUGAUACAGGAUAAAGCAGCAUUGCCACCAGCAAUGGCCCCAGAGCCGGUGUUGACUGUCUCCGACGUGGCGGAGCCGCCCCUUCCUCCGGUGAGCAACACCACAGCUCCAGCGCCCUCCCACGCCCCCGUCGAGGUCUCCGUCUCGAUCCCGAUCACUGCGGCGGUGCUAGUGCUAUGCGCUUCUCUGCUUAUCUGAGGACCACUAGUCAUUCUUUUUUUGGCCACCCGUUCUAUUCUAUUAUGUAGCGAGCGAUUCAUUUUUCCUUUUGCUUUGGGUCUCAUUUGGGGUGGUGGAUGUUGAGGUUAAAUGAUGAUUCAUGCCUGGAUGGUGGCACUUACUUAUGUCCCUAGUUAAAACAACAUUCUGGUAAAUACGUACUCCUACUCUAUGAUGGUUAAAGAGGAGAAGUGACGCAUUCAGCUCCCAAGAGUCUAGAGUUGCGGUCCCGGACCAGAUUUUGAUGUGGGAACUCAGAGAGAGUACCAGAUCGGACGGCCGUCCGAUUGACAUCUGACGGCGGGAUGCUCUUAUUGCGCUCAUGGCCGCCGGUUGCUUGUGUGGCCACGGCCACAGCCGGUUUGGUUUGUCUCCAAUGAUCCAAUCUCGAAUGUCGUCAGCCUCUACGCCCACGGCCGUGGCGGUGGCGCGGCCGGCGGGGAGGUACGCCGUGUACGUCGCGGCCGUGCCGCUGAGGGCCCCUCAGGGUCCGGCCCAGGCCAUGAUGUCUUCGGCCUACUCGUUGUGUCUGUGGGACCUUCAGCACUUCAUGGUGCUCCUCCGGCCCGACCCUGCCCGAACCCCAACCCGAGCCCAGGAGCAGGAGUCGUUGGUGUUCGAUUUCCAGCCUCGCCACCCGGAGGAUGCUCUCGCCGCCUUCUCCGUGCUCUCGCGGAGCAAAAUACCGGGGGUGGUUCGGAGGAGAAGGCUGCGGAGGAUCCCUGACAGGAGGAGCUGGUUCGUCGGCCUCAGCGACGGCGACGCCGCCGACGCCGCCGAGAGGUUCAGCGAGCGGUGGCCUACCGACCUGGUCGUCGGGAACCACGACUGCCGUGACUACACCAACGGGCUGGUGGAGGUCUUGACAGGACAAAAACGUGUCCUCGACGCGCUGAGAUCAGCAGGUCGCCAAUGAGGCCGCGCCAUCGUGGGGUGGGCCGGACUACUUUCUUCUACCUUUCCUUCUUUCUGUUGCACUAGCGUUGUUUACUGAACCUUGCUCCAGACACGUCUCAAAAUAUUCGUGAUGUACUAAUUUUUAUGUAUACAUAUGCGUAAAUGGUGCCAUAUGGUUGCAAGAGACAGGCUUGGAUGAUUAGGUUAGGUUGAUUCACUCUUCUGUUGCUUGUCCGACGGAGUUCAUCAUGUUUCUUGUGUUACUGUUUUCCAGAGAUAAGUUGCAAUUUCUUUAAGGAGAAAUAAGUUGCCGUUUCACUUUGCACAUGGUUGAUAUAUCAGGAUUCCGACUGCUCUCGCCCAUCUGUGAAUUCUUCUAAUCCUAGACCAAGAAAACAUACUGCCUGCAACUACUUUUUUUGGAAAUGGAGGUAUACCCCCGGCCACUGCAUCAUGAUGAUACAGCUCGCAAACGGAGCAAAACUGCCUGCAACUACUAAUGAAACGCAUCAGCCUUCUCGGACAAAGGUGUGGCAUAAAUAAGAAAUGCACUUUGAGGAAUUCCUCGGCUGGAGCUUGAAGCAAAAGUAGAAAAA